AAAACCAAAAAAAAAAAAGACAAAAAAGUGAUUAACAAGUUAGGGAAAAAAGAUUAUACUUGAUUGUUGCGUGUCAUCCUGGCAUAGAAACGUCAGUAUAAAAUUAAAACGAUACUAGUAAAGAUCACUGUUCGAGUUUUCUACCAAAGAGUUCUUGUUCUCUUGAAAGAAGUAGAAGGUGGCUUCAUUUGUGGGACAGCAAAUGAAUUGUCAUCUGUCCACUUUCUACUGGACUUGAUAUUAGUAACUUCUCUUGAUUCUUUUAGACCAAUUUGCCCACCAAAGUUCAAAUUUUGUGAAGGGAAAAAUUGGAUCUGAGUCUCUUGCUUUGACUCUUGAAGAGGAGGGGCUUGAGGGACCCAAAUACCAACAUUUUGUGGUGGAAAUGAACUAAAUUGACUCUCAAGAUCAGUAUCCCAAAAUGACAACAUAUCCUCAUCACCAAUAUUCUUGGAGUAAACAUUAGGAGUUGAACAAUCAAGAAAAUCUUCAACAUGCCAACCAGGCAACAUCUCUAAAUACUCUGAUAUACUACUUGUUAAGUUAUUUCCCCCUCCAUUCACAAAUUGCACAUUAUUAUUACAUCCACCAACUUUCUCUUUAACAACUUUCACUGAUUCCACAGCGGAUGAUACUGCUCCUCCCUUAGUACUGUUGCUAAUAAUCGCGGGAGAAACAAACACAGAACCAGCAACAGGCUUACUAGUGGAAUCCUUAGACUUCAAAUUUGAAACACACGAAUCCGCGGAGGAGAUUGCUGAUUGUGAUUGUGAUUGUGAUUGU
RNAcentral lists this unclassified non-coding RNA (783 nucleotides) under Hevea brasiliensis (rubber tree). The record is from RNAcentral. Lineage: Eukaryota; Viridiplantae; Streptophyta; Magnoliopsida; Malpighiales; Euphorbiaceae.